GAUUCUGGCUCAGGAUGAACGCUGGCGGCGUGCCUAACACAUGCAAGUCGAACGGAGUGAAUUCUUCGGAGUUCACUUAGUGGCGGACGGGUGAGUAACGCGUGGGUAAUCUGCCUUACACCGGGGGACAACAGUUGGAAACGACUGCUAAUACCGCAUAAGCCCACGGUACCGCAUGGUACAGAGGGAAAAGAUUUAUCAGUGUAAGAUGAGCCCGCGUCUGAUUAGUUAGUUGGCGGGGUAACGGCCCACCAAGACGACGAUCAGUAGCCGACCUGAGAGGGUGAUCGGCCACAUUGGGACUGAGACACGGCCCAAACUCCUACGGGAGGCAGCAGUGGGGAAUAUUGCGCAAUGGGGGGAACCCUGACGCCAGCAACGCCGCGUGAGUGAAGAAGUAUUUCGGUAUGUAAAGCUCUAUCAGCAGGGAAGAAAACGACGGUACCUGCAGAAGAAGUCCCGGCUAACUACGUGCCAGCCGCAGC
This 485-nucleotide ribosomal RNA is filed under the name uncultured bacterium. Its description in RNAcentral is "bacterial SSU rRNA". It matches the Rfam family "Bacterial small subunit ribosomal RNA", at positions 15 to 518 of the family's 1533-position model. The record is from RNAcentral.